UGAGGAAUAUUGGUCAAUGGGCGAGAGCCUGAACCAGCCAAGUAGCGUGCAGGAUGACGGCCCUAUGGGUUGUAAACUGCUUUUAUGCGGGGAUAAAGUGCGGCACGUGUGCCGUUUUGCAUGUACCGCAUGAAUAAGGACCGGCUAAUUCCGUG
Molecule: ribosomal RNA, 155 nt
Filed under: uncultured bacterium
Lineage: Bacteria
Description: partial 16S ribosomal RNA
Rfam family: Bacterial small subunit ribosomal RNA
Source: RNAcentral